AUUGAACGCUGGCGGCAGGCCUAACACAUGCAAGUCGAGCGGAAGAAGGGAGCUUGCUCCUGGCUUCAGCGGAGGACGGGAGAGUAACGCCUAGGCAUCUGCCUGGGAGUGGGGGAUAACGUCGGGAAACGGGCGCUAAUACCGCACACGUCAUGAGGGAGAAAGUGGGGGAUCUUCGGACCUCACGCUCUCAGAUGAGCCUAGGUCGGAUUAGCUAGUUGGUGGGGUAAAGGCUUACCAAGGCGACGAUCUGUAGCUGGUCUGAGAGGAUGAUCAGCCACACUGGAACUGAGACACGGCCCAGACUCCUACGGGAGGCAGCAGUGGGGAAUUUUGGACAAUGGGCGAAAGCCUGAUCCAGCCAUGCCGCGUGUGGGAUGAAGGUCUUCGGGUUGUAAAGUGCUUUUGGUUGGGAGGAAGGGCAGUAAGUUAAUACCGAGCUGUCUUGACGGUACCGACAGAAUAAGCACCGGCUAACUACGUG
This 484-nucleotide ribosomal RNA is filed under the name uncultured bacterium. Its description in RNAcentral is "partial 16S ribosomal RNA". It matches the Rfam family "Bacterial small subunit ribosomal RNA", at positions 30 to 507 of the family's 1533-position model. The record is from RNAcentral.